Molecule: unclassified non-coding RNA, 444 nt
Filed under: Hevea brasiliensis (rubber tree)
Lineage: Eukaryota; Viridiplantae; Streptophyta; Magnoliopsida; Malpighiales; Euphorbiaceae
Source: RNAcentral
GCCAGUUUCCUUGCUUGUGCAUAUUACGGUUAAGAAAGUGUGUGAGUUAACAAGAGGCUUUAACCCAUCAUCUGUAAUUCCCAAACACUUUCUUAACCGUAAUAUGCAUAAGCAAGGAAACUGGCUCACAAGCUGCAGCCCCUCAUCACUGAUUUCUUGGCAUCUGGCUAGCUCCAAGGUUUCCAGAUACGGAGCUGAGCAAAGAGCUUCCAUCCCAGCGUCAUUGAAGGAAUACACAUGGUCAAGAGCAAGUUCUCGAAUAGGGCACAUCUGAAUCAAAGCAAGGAUUCCACUUAAAGUAAACGACGAAAUGGAAGGAAACUCCCCAUCUGAAAAAGAAAUCCGGACAGAUUCAAGCACUGGACAGUUUUGAGCCAAAGCUUUAAGACUUUCAUCUGUUAACCUCAAAGGGUUAUUCAGCAGAAGUGGCAAGGAGAAAUCAGA